UACGGGGGGGGCAAGCGUUGUUCGGAAUUACUGGGCGUAAAGGGCUCGUAGGCGGCCAACUAAGUCAGACGUGAAAUCCCUCGGCUUAACCGGGGAACUGCGUCUGAUACUGGAUGGCUUGAGUUUGGGAGAGGGAUGCGGAAUUCCAGGUGUAGCGGUGAAAUGCGUAGAUAUCUGGAGGAACACCGGUGGCGAAGGCGGCCUCCUGGACCAACACUGACGCUGAGGAGCGAAAGCCAGGGGAGCAAACGGG
Molecule: ribosomal RNA, 253 nt
Filed under: uncultured bacterium
Lineage: Bacteria
Description: partial 16S ribosomal RNA
Rfam family: Bacterial small subunit ribosomal RNA
Source: RNAcentral